UAGCUGACCCUGCUUCCACUGCUGACAAC
This 29-nucleotide non-coding RNA is filed under the name Mus musculus (house mouse). The record is from RNAcentral. Lineage: Eukaryota; Metazoa; Chordata; Mammalia; Rodentia; Muridae.